RNAcentral lists this ribosomal RNA (497 nucleotides) under uncultured bacterium. RNAcentral describes it as "partial 16S ribosomal RNA". It matches the Rfam family "Bacterial small subunit ribosomal RNA", at positions 28 to 507 of the family's 1533-position model. The record is from RNAcentral.
GAUGAACGCUGGCGGCGUGCCUAAUACAUGCAAGUCGAGCGAACAGACGAGGAGCUUGCUCCUCUGACGUUAGCGGCGGACGGGUGAGUAACACGUGGAUAACCUACCUAUAAGACUGGGAUAACUUCGGGAAACCGGAGCUAAUACCGGAUAAUAUAUUGAACCGCAUGGUUCAAUAGUGAAAGACGGUUUUGCUGGCACUUAUAGAUGGAUCCGCGCCGCAUUAGCUAGUUGGUAAGGUAACGGCUUACCAAGGCAACGAUGCGUAGCCGACCUGAGAGGGUGAUCGGCCACACUGGAGCUGAGACACGGUCCAGACUCCUACGGGAGGCAGCAGUAGGGAAUCUUCCGCAAUGGGCGAAAGCCUGACGGAGCAACGCCGCGUGAGUGAUGACGGUCUUCGGAUCGUAAAACUCUGUUAUUAGGGAAGAACAAAUGUGUAAGUAACUAUGCACGUCUUGACGGUACCUAAUCAGAAAGCCACGGCUAACUACGUG